GUGCCAGCAGCCGCGGUAAUACGUAGGGUGCGAGCGUUAAUCGGAAUUACUGGGCGUAAAGCGUGCGCAGGCGGUUCGUUAAGUCUGAUGUGAAAGCCCCGGGCUCAACCUGGGAAUGGCAUUGGAAACUGGCGGGCUGGAGUAUGGCAGAGGGGGGUGGAAUUCCACGUGUAGCAGUGAAAUGCGUAGAGAUGUGGAGGAACACCGAUGGCGAAGGCAGCCCCCUGGGCCAAUACUGACGCUCAGGCACGAAAGCGUGGGGAGCAAACAGGAUUAGAUACCCCGGUAGUCC
Molecule: ribosomal RNA, 292 nt
Filed under: uncultured bacterium
Lineage: Bacteria
Description: partial 16S ribosomal RNA
Rfam family: Bacterial small subunit ribosomal RNA
Source: RNAcentral